GUUGAUGUGUGUGGAAGUAAACAAAUAUGGCGUCUCGAAAAGCACGCUUAUUUUGAAAAUGAAGUUUUCAGAGAUUGUUUUAAUCUACGGAUGAAGUGGUCGUCAUUAACGGAGAAAGGAAAAUUUGUUAAAUUAAGAUACUACAUUCCUAGUCUAUUAUAGACCUAGGAAUAUUAGUCGACAUGAAGGGUUCAAGGGCAAUCUAAGGAAAUCAUAAAUUGUACAGAAACUAUACAAAGAAUGCUUGAGUAUGCCUUGAAAUUUCUACAACCUAAUUCUCUGUCCAGAUGACUUUUUGUAAUCUUACUGACAAAGAUGUUCACCAUAUUCAAUUGGAGCACAUUUAAGAUAUGGCUCCUCUAGCUAAUGUGAUCAUGGCAUUAGGUCCAAAAGAUGGUGGGAGCCGCCGUGAGUUACGCGGAAGGAAGAAUCUCGCCGCGCGACUCGGAAGGGACACGGACCAUUCCGGGUCACCAACCGGAAUUGGAAUAUAAGCACUCUUCCUCCCGACUGUGUCUAUAAGUACCGAGUCGAUUACCGUUCCGGAGUUACGAUUUGAAAAUCGAGUCGAGGGAAGACGGAAGAACGAUUCCAAUGCAUUUGUUUACGUCUGGACGAAGCCGACGUUCCCCGUUGAAAGUGCACCAGUAUUUCAUAUUUGUCUUAUUUAUUUUUAAUAAAAAUAAUCAAAGUUUAAACUAACCUCGUCGUAUUCUACCAUUCAAAUAAAUUGAUAACUGCCGACUGACGACCUGGUUAAAUAGACAAACUACACGAGGACAUCCACUUUCACCGAUUCCGAUCGAAGGGGUUCCUUGGUUAACAGAUCUUCCUGGCUUUCAGACUUUAAAUUUCGACGUCGCGGCCGGCGGAGAUUCGGGGCGGUAGAAGAUCGAAUUUGUAAAGAGAAUUGAGUGGCGCGUGUCGGAUUAUGGCGCGAGUGACGGCCACGAACAAUAAAUUAAUGAAUAAAUCAUUAAUAUGUAACAGAUUGAUGUCUCGUUAAGGAGAAGUUCUCAUGCACUAUUCAUUGUCCGCUUCUUUUAUCUUCCGAGUGGAAUGACCUGAUGGGAAUGUUUUCCCUCCAAACAACAAAAAAAAAAAAAAACAAUAACCUUCCGAUAUAUUCCGUCUGUAAUUUGGAAUUAUUCUUUAUUUCGUUUUUAGCAAAUUCCGCCGACCAAUCCUAAUUAUAAAAUUUAAUCUAUUUUUGGAAGCGCUUUUACGCUGUCUGCUUUUCGCUUCCCGAAUAAAUUACAAAAAAGAGAGAGAAGUGGACGUAAUCACGUCGGUCUCACCUCCACUAACUUAUAUUCCGACGUCGGGGGUAAUCUAAUGGCGGUUUGUUUAAACUAAUUUAAUUUUUGAGACGUUAACCAUAAAUCCCGAAGAUAGCGUAUUCGUAUUUGCCUUUUAAAAUUUAAUCGCCGGUUUUUAUCCUUCCAAAUUGAUCUUUCUUUACUAACUAAACACAAAAUAAUUCUCCCCGGCAAAUUAGUUUUCUCCCUCUUUUUUAAAUAUGAAUUUAUUUCGGAGAAUUAACAAGAAAUUUGCACUGGCAAGAAGAGGAGAGGUACUUUCCCCACAUUAUUUAUAAGAGGGAGAAAAACGCCGAGUGGAGGUCAAGAACGACUUUUUUGUUUGGAAAUAAGUCCGCAUUUAGAAUGGAAGAACAGAACAGGUUUUAUUCCGGAGAGUCGUGUUUAGCAACAUUCGAGAAGCUAUUAUUCUCUCAGAACCAACCGCGUCGCUCUUCUUUACAAAGUUUACAAAGCGCGAAAUUUUAGCGCAUUGCAGGUCU
This is a long non-coding RNA of Centruroides sculpturatus (bark scorpion), 1801 nucleotides long. RefSeq lists it as uncharacterized. The record is from RefSeq and is a predicted model, not a curated record. The transcript is spliced from 5 exons. NCBI's taxonomy places the organism in Eukaryota, Metazoa, Arthropoda, Arachnida, Scorpiones, Buthidae.